AUUAGGUGGGGGGGGGGGGGAGUGGAGCAAUUUGGAGGGUGGGUUGUUGUUGAUAGAGAAGUAGGUGUGAGCGACAUUGGACAGGCGAUUGUCCGUUGUAGAUGAUAGAGUAGUGGAGACGGAACCAUUAUUUGAGAGGCAGAAUUGUUUUGCGGAGCAAGGAUACCUUGGCAACGUGGGAGGGGCACUCGCGAGUGCGCUGGAGUAUUGUCCAGUGUUGUGGACCCCGUGCAGUAAAGAUUGGAAUUGCUUCUGAAUCGAGAGCAGCAGGAGGUUUGGCUUAAUGUUCUUGUGAUCAGGAUGGAUUCAGCACAUGACUGUUGAUGCAAUUUUGGAGGUUUUGGUGAUCGUUUUACUACAAUGCAAUAGAUGUCAUCUUGUGCGUUUGUUGGAUUCGUCUUGCCUUUGAUAGUUGGCAACACAUUAUUGCUAGGGAUUGUAUUUAUGUUGCCAAUUUUCAUUAGUGCUUCCAUGGAGUGGUCUUCCAUCCUAUGCAAUUCUCUCAUGGUUUGUUGAAAUGAUCAUUGGGUUGGGUUGUGAAAUUGGUGCAAUGUAAGUUUAGGGAAGUUGAUCAAUACGUAAUGUGGUUCAAAGUGUUGUUAUGUUAUAUUUAUAACUAUUUUUUUUGGAAGUAAGUAUUGCAUUUUGUAA
Molecule: non-coding RNA, 651 nt
Organism: Physcomitrium patens
Lineage: Eukaryota; Viridiplantae; Streptophyta; Bryopsida; Funariales; Funariaceae
Source: RefSeq, a predicted model, not a curated record